CCGCUCAAAGAAGAUGAACUGAUCUCCUACAUCCUCUCUGGUAUUGAUCAAGAAUACAAUCCACUCUCGACAUCAACCAUAACUCAAGUGGAACCAAUCUCGCUUGUUGACUUCUAUGCACACCUUCUCACCUUUGAGA
Small nucleolar RNA from Phragmites australis (common reed), 139 nucleotides. RefSeq annotates it as small nucleolar RNA Z247. Lineage: Eukaryota; Viridiplantae; Streptophyta; Magnoliopsida; Poales; Poaceae. The transcript has a single exon. The record is from RefSeq and is a predicted model, not a curated record.